This 497-nucleotide ribosomal RNA is filed under the name uncultured bacterium. RNAcentral describes it as "partial 16S ribosomal RNA". It matches the Rfam family "Bacterial small subunit ribosomal RNA", at positions 28 to 507 of the family's 1533-position model. The record is from RNAcentral.
GAUGAACGCUGGCGGCGUGCCUAAUACAUGCAAGUCGAGCGAACGGACGAGAAGCUCUCUUCGCUUAUGUUAGGGGCGGACGGGUGAGGAAUAGGUGGAUAACUUACCGAUAAGACUGGGAUAACGUCGGGAAACCGGAUCUAAUACAGGAUAAGAGUGUGAACGGCAGGGAUCAAAAGAGAAAGACGUUCUUGCUGACACUAGUAGAGGGAACCUGGUUGGAUUAGCUAGUUGGUAGGGUAACGGCUUACCAAGGCAACGAUGCGUAGCCGACCUGAGAGGAUGAUCAGCCACACUGGAACUGAGACACGGUCCAGACUCCUACGGGAGGCAGCAGUGGGGAAUCUUGCACAAUGGGCGAAAGCCUGACGCAGCCACGCCGCGUGUGUGAUGAAGGUCUUCGGAUCGUAAAGCUCUGUUAUUAGGGAAGAACAUAAGUGUGAGUAACUGUGGCCGUCUUGACGGUACCUACUCAGUAAGCAACGGCUAACUACGUG